RNAcentral lists this transfer RNA (91 nucleotides) under Luteolibacter sp. RNAcentral describes it as "tRNA-Ser". It matches the Rfam family "tRNA". Rfam says of the family: Transfer RNA (tRNA) molecules are approximately 80 nucleotides in length. Their secondary structure includes four short double-helical elements and three loops (D, anti-codon, and T loops). Lineage: Bacteria; Pseudomonadati; Verrucomicrobiota; Verrucomicrobiia; Verrucomicrobiales; Verrucomicrobiaceae. RNAcentral also lists the same sequence under 2 other names. The record is from RNAcentral.
GGACAGGUGGCUGAGUGGUUGAAGGCACUCGACUCGAAAUCGAACGUAGGCUAAUACCCUACCGUGGGUUCAAAUCCCACCCUGUCCGCCA